RNAcentral lists this long non-coding RNA (1483 nucleotides) under Struthio camelus australis. Its description in RNAcentral is "lncRNA (ENSSCUG00000016391.1)". The record is from RNAcentral. Lineage: Eukaryota; Metazoa; Chordata; Aves; Struthioniformes; Struthionidae.
AGCCGUGUCCCGGGAACUGCCGCCUGCGGAUGAAAUAGGACCCUUCCACUCACGCUCCGUUCAAGAGCAUAAAAAAUAAUUACCGUGCUCACGGUAAAUACGAUGCAUUUGUCUUGAACGGUGUAAGUGAAAAGCGGUUCAUGUAGCUAAAUGUUUCAGAUUUGGAACCAGCUUUGCUGUUAAAAACCUUUGUGUCCAUCAAGGAAACUAAUUCGGUGAGUCAGGGUUAAGUGCAGCGACGGCUGCUGGGAAAAGCUGGCGUGCAAAGCCUCCCAGACCGAGCGUGAGACCGGCUGCAGGGAGACAAUGACAGAACUGGGCAGGAGUGACAGUGCAUAAAACAAACUGGCAAAUAUUUUAAAAGCUGAAAUUGAAUUUUUUUUAAAGUAAAUACCCUGCGGUAUAAACUGAAAAAACAGGUUUACCUUCACCCCUGGUUUGUGCCUCCAGCUGCAGAUCUGCGAUCAGGAGUGUGCUGCUUCCAUUUCCUCUCUUAUCUCCAUUUUCCUCUCUCUGUUGCGUUUCUGCCACCUGGAAGUUAGAGCGCUGGAUGACGGGAACUAGAUCAGGAUUUCAAAGACAUUUGGAGUGUAAUUCCCAGUGAUUUCAGAGCAAGUAAGGCACCUUUGGGACUGCAUUGUACCUGCUACCGAGGCGCUCAGAGCAUCCUUGGGGUCUGGUGUCCGGUGUGUUUGGCCAGGAACCUGCUUGCAGUUGGGUCCCACCACCUCCUGCACUUGCAGAGGAUCCUCAGGCUCCUGCAAACAGGAUUCCAGCUAUCUCUUCUGUGCUAUGUCAUCUUUGCAAGGGAAAAUGAGACAGCUGCAGGCCAAGGAGUCAUGGACUGCAGGCUCUAGAAGGAAAAAGGCAGAGAAGUGUUGAACGCAGGAGGACAACAGCAAGGAGGAGGAGGUCCAGGUUCCUGCAUCCUUUCUGCCUGAAUGGCUCUGGGGUACCGUGGCGCGUGCAACAUCUAAUGCCUCAUCGCUCCUGCAGGACGGCGGUCGUUUCGGCUGCAUCGCGCAGGACGAGCGUCAGCACCCGGGAAGGGCUCCGGGCGCUGGCAGGAGCAGGAUUGCACCGCCUUUUCUGCACGCUCCCACACCGGGCACGGCAGUCUCGCAGCUCUGCCCCUGCUUGCGCUGGACGGGGCCAGCACCUCUCUGCUCGCCGCCUCUCGAACCCUGGGCUAGCGCCGGUCCGAUGGCUCGCGCCAACCUUCGCGUGCUGCCUGGAGAGACGCAGGGCUGGAGCAGAGCUGCUCGCAAGAAGUUCAGGCCUGUGGACCCUCGUAUUUGCUAAGGAUGCUGCUUUUUGGUUGAUUUCGUGCUGCACGCGUGGGAGCUGCAGGAGCCCUCUCCUCCGUGGGUGCUGUAGCAGUGAGCGACCGGACUCGGUUUCCCCUCGCUGUAGCCACGAGCAGCGCAUGCUUGCCAGCAUUUUCCACAUACACCAUAUUUUCAGCACAAAGCAGUGUUCUUAA